GACGAACGCUGGCGGCGUGCUUAACACAUGCAAGUCGAACGGAAAGGCCCUGCUUUUGUGGGGUGCUCGAGUGGCGAACGGGUGAGUAACCCGUGAGUAACCUGCCCUUGACUUUGGGAUAACUUCAGGAAACUGGGGCUAAUACCGGAUAGGAGCUCCUGCUGCAUGGUGGGGGUUGGAAAGUUUCGGCGGUUGGGGAUGGACUCGCGGCUUAUCAGCUUGUUGGUGGGGUAGUGGCUUACCAAGGCUUUGACGGGUAGCCGGCCUGAGAGGGUGACCGGCCACAUUGGGACUGAGAUACGGCCCAGACUCCUACGGGAGGCAGCAGAGGGGAAUAUUGCACAAUGGGCGGAAGCCUGAUGCAGCAACGCCGCGUGCGGGAUGACGGCCUUCGGGUUGUAAACCGCUUUCGCCUGUGACGAAGCGUGAGUGACGGUAAUGGGUAAAGAAGCACCGGCUAACUACGUG
RNAcentral lists this ribosomal RNA (468 nucleotides) under uncultured bacterium. RNAcentral describes it as "partial 16S ribosomal RNA". It matches the Rfam family "Bacterial small subunit ribosomal RNA", at positions 28 to 507 of the family's 1533-position model. The record is from RNAcentral.